UAUGGGUAAUGUGUAGGUGAUGUGCAGGUAAUGCAUGGGUAAUGUGUAGGUGAUGUGCAGGUAAUGUGUAGGUAAUGUGUAGGCAAUGUAUAGGUGAUGUGCAGGUAAUGUAUGGGUAAUGUGUAGGUGAUGUGCAGGUAAUGUAUGGGUAAUGUGUAGGUGAUGUGCGGGUAAUGUGUAGGUAAUGUAUAGGUGAUGUGCAGGUAAUGUGUAGGUAAUGUGUAGGUGAUGUGCAGGCAAUGUGUAGGUAAUGUGUAGGUGAUGUGCAGGCAAUGUGUAGGUAAUGUGUAGGCAAUAUAUAGGUGAUGUGCAGGUAAUGUAUGGGUAAUGUGUAGGUAAUGUAUGGGUAAUGUGUAGGUGAUGUGCAGGUAAUGUAUGGGUAAU
Long non-coding RNA from Oncorhynchus tshawytscha (Chinook salmon), 384 nucleotides. The record is from Ensembl. NCBI's taxonomy places the organism in Eukaryota, Metazoa, Chordata, Actinopteri, Salmoniformes, Salmonidae.